This 497-nucleotide ribosomal RNA is filed under the name uncultured bacterium. RNAcentral's name for it is "partial 16S ribosomal RNA". It matches the Rfam family "Bacterial small subunit ribosomal RNA", at positions 28 to 523 of the family's 1533-position model. The record is from RNAcentral.
GAUGAACGCUGGCGGCGUGCUUAACACAUGCAAGUCGAACGAAGCAUUUAGAACAGAUUACUUCGGUUUGAAGUUCUUUAUGACUGAGUGGCGGACGGGUGAGUAACGCGUAGGUAACCUGCCUUGUACUGGGGGAUAGCAGCUGGAAACGGCUGGUAAUACCGCAUAAGCGCACAAUGUUGCAUGACAUGGUGUGAAAAACUCCGGUGGUAUAAGAUGGACCCGCGUCUGAUUAGCUAGUUGGUGAGAUAACAGCCCACCAAGGCGACGAUCAGUAGCUGACCUGAGAGGGUGACCGGCCACAUUGGGACUGAGACACGGCCCAGACUCCUACGGGAGGCAGCAGUGGAGAAUAUUGCACAAUGGAGGAAACUCUGAUGCAGCGACGCCGCGUGAGUGAAGAAGUAAUUCGUUAUGUAAAGCUCUAUCAGCAGGGAAGAUAGUGACGGUACCUGACUAAGAAGCUCCGGCUAAAUACGUGCCAGCCGCCGCGGUAA